This is a non-coding RNA of Peromyscus maniculatus bairdii (prairie deer mouse), 86 nucleotides long. The record is from RefSeq and is a predicted model, not a curated record. Lineage: Eukaryota; Metazoa; Chordata; Mammalia; Rodentia; Cricetidae.
UGCUCUUCCUAUGCUGUAUGUGCUUGGCUGAGGAGCCAAUGGGGCAAAGCUACCAUCUGUGGGAUUAUGACUGAACGCCUCUAAGU